GAUGACUUACGCUUUAGUAUAUAAGAGAUUUGUAUGAGAUUAAAUAUUGAACAGAAACAAAAAAAAUUGUGUCGCUCCAUAGGUUAUUCUUGGGGAUUUUUUUUUUUUAAAUAAUGUAUUCAAUUUUAAGAGUUUUUCAUUGAAUACAGUUUUGAUAUAAGAUUGUGUCGCUCCAUAGGUGAUUCUUGGGGAUUUCAUAGUUUUAUUUAUUAAUUUAAUUUUAUAGAUUUAACUUUUACUGCUCAUUGUGCUUUGAGAAACUUUCAAUUCGGAAAAUAUAAGAAUGUGAUUUUUAAUUUUUGAUAUGAAAGGCUAAGAAACUUUUCAUACUUGUGAUAUGUUAACACGUGAAGAUUAAAGAUUGUCCUCAUCAUUUUGAUGGGAACGAAGAGGCUGGAAAUGAUGACAUUGUGAUCAAUGAAAACUAGCUUUUGAUCCGCGCGUCCGCGCGGAUGUAUGUUUGAUGUAAUCAUAUGUUUUAUUUAUUGUAAAAACAUUCAUAUUAUUGUUUCAUAUGUUAUUAGAUCUGACAUUGGUGUAUCUUGUUUAUGUUGUUUAGUGUACAUUUUUAAGCUUUGAGGUUGUAUUGUUCUUAUAUUGUAUUUUUUUUCUUUUACUUAGUAAACUAAACAAAGUGUAUAAUAUUAGAACAUUUAUUUGAGAUUUAAUAGUUUUAUUAAAUAAGAAAAUCUAAUUUUUUUAUUUAUAGCUUAUUUUAAUUUUUUGUUUAUAUAGCUUUA
RNAcentral lists this long non-coding RNA (740 nucleotides) under Brassica rapa (field mustard). Its description in RNAcentral is "long non-coding RNA (BRAP_LNC007331)". Lineage: Eukaryota; Viridiplantae; Streptophyta; Magnoliopsida; Brassicales; Brassicaceae. The record is from RNAcentral.